Long non-coding RNA from Herpailurus yagouaroundi (jaguarundi), 1114 nucleotides. RefSeq lists it as uncharacterized. The record is from RefSeq and is a predicted model, not a curated record. The transcript is spliced from 3 exons. Lineage: Eukaryota; Metazoa; Chordata; Mammalia; Carnivora; Felidae.
UAAACAAACUACAUCUGCCAGAUGCCUGCUUUACCUUUUUCAAUUAAAAUUCUGCUCCUAUUGUUGGAAGGUUAACUUUGAACUUACAAGGCUAUGUAGCUCACUAGGGUAUGAAGUUAGUUGCCUGUAAAUAUGCAUAAAUUAGCAUCAUUUAUCCCAUAUGGAGUUUCCAACAAGAACUAUGAGUGCCUCUCUAAAUAUCUGGAUGGAUCACCUUUUUUCCAAUACCAGAAGGAAAAUAUCAUUCAAGAAUGCUAAGAAUCUCAGGGGUUUACAUUUUUGAGAGAAAAAAAUAACUCAAUUUUGGCUACAGUUAAAAUACAGGAGGGAGUAGAGGAUUCUGCAUUCAUUCAUUAAAUAAUGGAAUCUCCAUUAAUUCACUCAAGAAACUUUAUGGCUUGCCUUGUACCUAUCUAACCUGUGCAUAGCCCUGAGGCAGGUGCUGAGAUAUAUCAGUGCCUGUCGCCAGAGAGCUCACAGGUGUCCCUGCACACCGGGCACCCACUGUCUGCCCUGACCAGCCUGCUGUGGGCAGGGGGACAUGCUAUGAGAUGAUCUCAUAAUCCUGGAGAUCUAUGACCCAUAAUUCACCCCCUUGUGUUAAGCAAGAACUUUUCCCAUGUGAGUGUUUAUAAAUUACAGUGUCUGGAAAGAUAACUUGACAAGUUAUCUUGACACACCUUAAAGCCAUACAUAGAAGCCAGGAUAGAUGAAGAAAAGGUGGACUGGGUUCUCUCUGCCCUUUCACAAAGGAAGUGACUCAAGAUACCUGAUAUACUCUCAACCCUCAGAAAAUGAACCUCUUUCCAUUCACUUGAUCCCACCAGUCACAAAGCACUGACUCUGUCAUGCACCAGAGGGGCAACAUGAAUAAGAAGUGUUUACACUCUGAAGGAGCCGACCCAACCAAAGUGAGAGAUUCAGACAUGGAACAGAACCCCAAGUCAUCAUGUAAAGAAGUCCAGGCUACCCUGAUAGAGAAGCCAAGAAGAGAGAAUCAAGAUGCCCCAGCCAAAAACCAGCACCAACAGGUUAAAAGGAACCCUCCACUGUCUUAAAGGUUGAAUGCAGCUACCUGAGUGAGUCUAGGCAAGACCAUCAGACCUGCUGGCCA